This 1002-nucleotide long non-coding RNA is filed under the name Carassius auratus (goldfish). RNAcentral describes it as "lncRNA (ENSCARG00000042447.1)". Lineage: Eukaryota; Metazoa; Chordata; Actinopteri; Cypriniformes; Cyprinidae. The record is from RNAcentral.
UGUUAGACUCUGAGAGUGAACAGAACGUUUUUGCUCCUAAUUAAACUAAUUAGCCUCAUGAUAUCAGCUUAUUUUCCCCAAAUUGUGUUUUACUUUUUUUUUUUUUUUUUUUUUUUUUCUGGAUUCUGGUUUUAUGAUUUAAUACAAAUUAAUCAUCCAAAUGUUGUCUAAUAAAAUGAAUUAAUAGAAACUUCAACAAUUCAAGCAAAUGCCAUCAAAUGAAAAUAUAAAAUUAUUUUAAUACAAAACAUUGCAUUGAAAUUUUUCAUCAAAUAAGAUGCUGCACAAUGCGGUUUAAUAUUAAAACAUGGAUGAAUAAAUAUCUUGCUUGUAUGAUAUUGCUUUAAAAUAUUAUAUUAUAAUUACUACUUGGAGAGUUACAUUUUAAUAUGCAGUAGUAUUUUGUCAUAGUUCCUUCGAUUUAAACUGAACUUUUAUUUUGGCGGGUUGUGCUGAAGAGUCUUAGUGUGUGUUUUAUGGUAGUUUUUCUCAAAGUAAACACUUCCAUAUCAACACUUGUUCUGGAAAAAACACAAGGUCUAGAGAUGCAUUUUUCCGUAGUUUAACUUGAGAGUUAUAUGUUCAGGACGAGAUGCUGCAAGAGACCCACAAGCCAUGUAGUGCACGCUUACAAACUAACAAUGGAAAAGCAGAAGGCUGACCUGCGGCGAGCCCCACUGGCAGAAGCAGUCUGAAGAUGAGUCCACACAGCAGCUCCGAGGCCAUCCUCGUAUCACUCCAGGAGUCGAUCAGAUCCCGCGUCCACAGCUCUUCUGUCUGUGCAGUCUUUCACAGCACAUGAUCCGCUCGGCUCUGUGGAGCCCGGCUUCACUUCAGUCUAGUCUAGUCCUCAUGGUAAUCAAAGAGUCCAGAUAAUCCACUCUUCAGACAUGCUUCGUGUUCCUCAGAGCAGCUCGUCUUACCUGUUGACAGGAGAGAUCAUGCUGCUGUUCAGACGCACUGCAAACAUUUCAUUCGUCCCGAGUGUGCUGGGUUUCCUCC